This 497-nucleotide ribosomal RNA is filed under the name uncultured bacterium. RNAcentral describes it as "partial 16S ribosomal RNA". It matches the Rfam family "Bacterial small subunit ribosomal RNA", at positions 28 to 507 of the family's 1533-position model. The record is from RNAcentral.
GAUGAACGCUGGCGGCGUGCCUAAUACAUGCAAGUCGAGCGAACAGACGAGGAGCUUGCUCCUCUGACGUUAGCGGCGGACGGGUGAGUAACACGUGGAUAACCUACCUAUAAGACUGGGAUAACUUCGGGAAACCGGAGCUAAUACCGGAUAAUAUAUUGAACCGCAUGGUUCAAUAGUGAAAGACGGUUUUGCUGUCACUUAUAGAUGGAUCCGCGCCGCAUUAGCUAGUUGGUAAGGUAACGGCUUACCAAGGCAACGAUGCGUAGCCGACCUGAGAGGGUGAUCGGCCACACUGGAACUGAGACACGGUCCAGACUCCUACGGGAGGCAGCAGUAGGGAAUCUUCCGCAAUGGGCGAAAGCCUGACGGAACAACGCCGCGUGAGUGAUGAAGGUCUUCGGAUCGUAAAACUCUGUUAUUAGGGAAGAACAAAUGUGUAAGUAACUAUGCACGUCUUGACGGUACCUAAUCAGAAAGCCACGGCCAACUACGUG